CGGGGGGAGCAAGCGUUGUUCGGAUUUACUGGGCGUAAAGGGCGCGUAGGCGGCCAGCGCAAGUCAGUUGUGAAAUCUCCGGGCUUAACUCGGAAAGGUCAACUGAUACUGCGCGGCUAGAGUGCAGAAGGGGCAACUGGAAUUCUCGGUGUAGCGGUGAAAUGCGUAGAUAUCGAGAGGAACACCUGCGGCGAAGGCGGGUUGCUGGGCUGACACUGACGCUGAUGCGCGAAAGCCAGGGGAGCGAACGGGAUUAGAUACCCCGGUAGUCCUGGCCUUAAACGAUGGAUGCUUGGUGUCUGGAGUUUUAUAGUCUCCGGGUGCCGUAGCUAACGCGUUAAACAUCCCGCCUGGGGAGUACGGUCGCAAGACUG
Molecule: ribosomal RNA, 374 nt
Filed under: uncultured organism
Description: bacterial SSU rRNA
Rfam family: Bacterial small subunit ribosomal RNA
Source: RNAcentral